AUAUUACUAGUAUAAUUUAUUAUAUUACUUUUCCAAAGUAAUGAUCUAUUAAUUUAGGUAAUGUA
This 65-nucleotide transfer RNA is filed under the name Caulobothrium sp. LRP 10376. RNAcentral describes it as "tRNA-Gly". Lineage: Eukaryota; Metazoa; Platyhelminthes; Cestoda; Tetraphyllidea. The record is from RNAcentral.